ACCCCACUGCUAUCGAGGUGAGACUAAGCCAUGCCAGUUGAACGCCUUUGGACUAUGGCAAAGGAGUAGCACACUGCUCAGUAACACGUAGCUAACCUACCCUUGGGACGGUGAUAACCCCGGGAAACUGGGGUCAAUAACUGAUAGGUAUGGAUUCCUGGAAUGGUUCUAUACUGAAAUGUUUGUAUACCCAUGUCGUGUGCAUAUACCCGAGGAUGGGGCUGCGGCCGAUCAGGCUGUUGGUGAGGUAACGGCUCACCAAACCUUUGACCGGUACGGGCCAUGAGAGUGGUAGCCCGGAGAUGGGCACUGAGACAAGGGCCCAGGCCCUACGGGGCGCAGCAGGUACGAAACCUCCACAAUUCACUAAAGUGAGAUGGGGUUACCUCGAGUGCCGCCUGAAAAAGGCGGCUUUUCCAUUGUGUAACAAGCUGUGGGAAUAAGGGGGGGGCAAGACUGGUGUCAGCCGCCGCGGUAACACCAGCCCCCCGAGUGGUGGGGAUGCUUAUUUGGCCUAAAGCGUCCGUAGCCGGCUCAGUAAAUCUCUCGUUAAAUCCAGCGUCCUAAGCGUUGGGCUGCGAGGGAGACUGUUGAGCUAGAGGGUGGGAGAGGUCAGCGGUAUUUCUGGGGUAGGGGCGAAAUCCAUUGAUCCCAGGAGGACCACCAGUGGCGAAGGCUGCUGACUAGAACACGCCUGACGGUGAGGGACGAAAGCUGGGGUAGCGAAUCGGAUUAGAUACCCGAGUAGUCCCAGCCGUAAACGAUGCAGGCUAGGUGUUGGGUUGGCCACGCGCCGACUCAGUGCCACAGGGAAGCCAUUAAGCCUGCCGCCUGGGGAGUACGGCCGCAAGGCUGAAACUUAAAGGAAUUGGCGGGGGAGCAC
This 883-nucleotide ribosomal RNA is filed under the name Thaumarchaeota archaeon SCGC AB-539-E09. Its description in RNAcentral is "bacterial SSU rRNA". It matches the Rfam family "Archaeal small subunit ribosomal RNA", at positions 21 to 879 of the family's 1478-position model. The record is from RNAcentral. Lineage: Archaea; Thermoproteati; Nitrososphaerota.